AUUGAACGCUGGCGGCAGGCCUAACACAUGCAAGUCGAGCGGAUGAAGGGAGCUUGCUCCUGGAUUCAGCGGCGGACGGGUGAGUAAUGCCUAGGAAUCUGCCUGGUAGUGGGGGAUAACGUCCGGAAACGGGCGCUAAUACCGCAUACGUCCUGAGGGAGAAAGUGGGGGAUCUUCGGACCUCACGCUAUCAGAUGAGCCUAGGUCGGAUUAGCUAGUUGGUGGGGUAAAGGCCUACCAAGGCGACGAUCCGUAACUGGUCUGAGAGGAUGAUCAGUCACACUAGAACUUAAAAACGGUCCAGGCUCCUACGGGAGGCAGCAGUGGGGAAUAUUGGACAAUGGGCGAAAGCCUGAUCCAGCCAUGCCGCGUGUGUGAAGAAGGUCUUCGGAUUGUAAAGCACUUUAAGUUGGGAGGAAGGGCAGUAAGUUAAUACCUUGCUGUUUUGACGUUACCAACAGAAUAAGCACCGGCUAACUUCGUG
Molecule: ribosomal RNA, 484 nt
Filed under: uncultured bacterium
Lineage: Bacteria
Description: partial 16S ribosomal RNA
Rfam family: Bacterial small subunit ribosomal RNA
Source: RNAcentral